AUGCUCAAGAGGCUUGGCCAAGAUGAAGCAUCAUCAGUUGGCUUUCUGCUCACUGGCCAUCUGACUUCAUACUGCUGGUGUUCUGUUGAGGGAAGGAGAGAAAACAUUCACUUGGGGAGCAUCUCACUUGGAGCAAAGGCAACAACUAAUUACAACACAUGUAGAUACCUAAGAGAGGAAAUACGAUGUGGAAAAUGUGGCUUUCUUCAAAGACACCAGGAAGAUUAGUGUCAUGUCUGAAGCACCCAUUUGUGUCAAUGUUUGUCUCAGUGGGUAUAGGCUACACCUUGCUCCUUGUUUUAAUGAGAGUGAAUACAGCCCUAUAGUCUCUGGCAUUAAGGAGAAGGAGAUGUAGGAGGGACCAG
Molecule: long non-coding RNA, 365 nt
Filed under: Mus spicilegus (steppe mouse)
Lineage: Eukaryota; Metazoa; Chordata; Mammalia; Rodentia; Muridae
Description: lncRNA (ENSMSIG00000016439.1)
Source: RNAcentral